UUUUUGUUUUGUAUUACUCUUUUAACUUUUCAUACUUAUAAAACUUUGCUAUGGAAAACAAAUAUUCAAUUAAAAGUUUUAUCUCUUAUAUUUUGUUGGUACUUUUGGUAAUAAUAUUGGCGUCUUCUCUUACAGAAACGGCCAUUUUAAAAAAUUGGAAUUGCUUAUAUAAAAUUAGAAGUUUCAAUUUUUUUUUUUAUAUGUUCGUUGCAAGAUUUUAGAAACUAAUACACACAAAUUUUAGAAGAUAUACGUGCAUCUUUCUUUCCCAUAACUGAAAUUAUUUCAAAAAUCAUGAUCCCAUGCAUAUAUGAAUCUAAUUAUCUUUGUAACGUAAAAAUCUAUAACUUCUAAUAGUUUUAUUCGUGGCUCAUUUAUGUAGGAAUCUAUUAAUUAAAAUACAUUUUUUUGUUCAUUAUUCCCUGGUUUAUGUUUCUUCCAUAAACUAUAAAAUAAUUAACAUCAUGUACAAAUCGGUGCAUUCAACCACCACGACCCAUAUACAUAGACGACGGAAACUCUAAAGCUCCUCUUUGCCGCUAGCUAAUGAAAUUGGGGUGCUGGUCUUGAACCACUUGGCGGUGUUCUUAUUUCCACUGUUGGAUAAAUCGACGUUAAUUAGUCCUACAAAAAGAAAAAAAAAAAUAUAUAUAUAUAUAUAUAUAUAUAUAUAUAUAUAUUGUUUCUACUUACAAAGUUUGCGGAUUUGGUAUGGCCAAGUUGAAGAUGCACAAGAUGAAAUCGCGAAAGAGAGAACCAAAAACAAAGCAAUCAACCACAAGCUUCCCUUCAUUUUAUUUCGAUCUUAAUUUGUGUUGUUGGAGUAGGUUACAAAGUUUCUACGCAUGCAUAUGUGUAUUUAUAUCAAUUCAUAUUUUAUACGUGAUGUUUAGAGAGAAGCAGCGUAGGAAAAUUAUAAAGUCUGACCGAGUAUAACUAAGAAGAGGUCUUCGACGUAGACAUACAUGAGAAACUUU
This 977-nucleotide long non-coding RNA is filed under the name Arabidopsis thaliana (thale cress). RNAcentral describes it as "long non-coding RNA (ATHA_LNC000730)". Lineage: Eukaryota; Viridiplantae; Streptophyta; Magnoliopsida; Brassicales; Brassicaceae. The record is from RNAcentral.